RNAcentral lists this unclassified non-coding RNA (1269 nucleotides) under Hevea brasiliensis (rubber tree). The record is from RNAcentral. Lineage: Eukaryota; Viridiplantae; Streptophyta; Magnoliopsida; Malpighiales; Euphorbiaceae.
GAUCACUCAAACAUUUGGAGAUAUGCUGUUUACUUCCGAUUCAUGUUUGAAAGAGUUUCCAUCCCCAGAAUCACUGAAAAGACGUGUUUUGAUAUCAACUAAGCCACCCAAAGAGUACCUUCAGGCGAAGGAAGUUAAAGAAACAGGUGCAACGAAAGGAACGGAUGAUACUGAAGCUUGGGGAAGGGAAGUUUCAGACAUUAAAGCCAGAUACAAUGAUAAGUAUGACUCUGAUGAAGGUGAAGCUGACGAUGAUGAUGAAGAAGAUCCCACCUCGCAGCAAAAUACAGCACCAGAAUACAAGCGUUUAAUUGCCAUUCAUGCUGGAAAGGGGAAAGGUGGACUGUCUGAUUGGCUGAGGGUUGAUCCUGAUAAAGUAAGACGACUUAGCUUGAGUGAGCAAGAACUUGGAAAGGCUGUAGUUACUCAUGGAAAAGAAAUUAUCAGGUUCACUCAGAGGAACAUUCUGAGAAUAUACCCAAAGGGCAUACGUUUUGACUCAUCCAAUUACAAUCCUUUCAAUGCAUGGACACAUGGAGCUCAAAUGGUGGCAUUCAAUAUGCAGGGCUAUGGAAGAUCACUUUGGUUAAUGCAUGGUAUGUUCAGAGCCAAUGGUGGUUGUGGAUACGUUAAGAAACCAGAUAUACUAUUGAAAGCAGGUCCCAGUAACGAGGUCUUCGAUCCUGAAGCAUCUUUGCCAGUCAAAACUACAUUGAAGGUCACCGUAUUUAUGGGUGAAGGGUGGUAUUAUGACUUCGAACACACACACUUUGAUGCAUACUCUCCUCCAGACUUCUAUGCAAGGAUAGGAAUUGCUGGAGUAGAUGCUGAUAUUGUAAUGAAGAAAACAAAGACUCUUGAGGACAAUUGGAUACCAACUUGGGAUGAACAGUUUGAAUUCCCAUUAACAGUUCCUGAAUUGGCUCUACUCCGCGUCGAAGUUCAUGAGUAUGAUAUGUCUGAAAAAGACGAUUUUGCUGGACAGACUUGUUUGCCUGUUUCAGAACUAAGACAAGGUAUUCGAGCAGUACCACUCCACAGCCGCAAGGGAGAUAAAUACAACUCUGUCAAGCUACUUAUGCGUUUCGAAUUUAUCUAAGUGUGAGUUUGUCUUAUCUUGUUUUGUUUUAUUCUGUUUGUGGAAAUAAGGAUUUUGCCAUGAUUUGCAAGCUUGCUUCUGUGUAUUUUGUGGUACGUUCUAUAUCUUUGUUAAUAUUAUGUGCCCAGAUAUGUAAAUAAGUUUGUGGUAAAAUGUGUGCAAUUUUUUUU